Molecule: non-coding RNA, 23 nt
Filed under: Arabidopsis thaliana (thale cress)
Lineage: Eukaryota; Viridiplantae; Streptophyta; Magnoliopsida; Brassicales; Brassicaceae
Source: RNAcentral
AGAUACGACCUUAUGUCAGGGUA